AGAGAGAGAGAGAGAGAGAGAGAGGAGAAUUUGUUUGAGAGGAACAAGAGGGAAUCUCAAUAACAAAACAAGCACGAUUGGAUGGAAGAAGGGCGGGAUUGGAAAAGGUGUGCCAGGACGCGCGCUAAGGGGGAAGUUUUUCUAUUGUAAGCUCUCUUUUCUCUCCAGCCAUUGAGAUCACUUUGAUGGCUGAGAUGGGACCGUAAAUAGGGGUUCGCAAAAAAGGAGUUCCCACCUGAGCCUCGUGCGGGGAAGGAUUCAUCAACGACCUGUGCAUUUCCCAAAGUCCUACAUUGGGCUUUUAGACCAGACCAUAGGAAAUAUAAAUGCAAAUGCAAAUGCUGCAGAGCUCAGUGUCAUUGGGACUGUCAGCGUCUCCGGUUCGCGUCGUCAAGUGUUCUUUGGUCGGGCUCCGAGCACCACCGUCAACGAUCCCAAUUCAAUGGCAGCAGCUGGUCCCAAGUGGGCCCAGAAGACCAUAACUCUGCCUCCCCAGAGGAGGGGUUGUCAUCUCAUCACCCCUCAGAUAGUGAAGGAAAUUGGCCAGGAAUUGUCACAUUUCAACUGCGGCCUUGCACAUUUUGUUUUGAAUUUUUUAUUUUAUUUUAUAUUUUUAAAAUAUUCCAGUGCAGCACACUACUGCUUCUCUUACUAUCAAUGAGAAUGUUGACUCUGAUGUUCGUGAUGAUACAGAGACAUUCCUCAAUAGGAUAGUUCCUGAGGGGACAUCUGCACCAUGGAAGCAUACCCUUGAAGGCUCAGAUGACAUGCCGGGGCAUAUUAAAUCAUUAAUGUUUGGUUGCGCACUGACGGUUCCAAUUACAAAUGGAAAGCUUAACAUGGGACCUUGGCAGGGAAUAUGGUUGUGCGAGCAUCGUGACUAUCCUACUGGGCGGAAAGUUGUGGUCACCCUUAAUGGAAUAUGAGAAGCUUAGAUUUGGAAGUUUCCUGUUUCUUUCAUCCAGUGCAAAUGAAGUUGUACUCAAGCAUCUUCUAUGUUCAUGGGUGGGUGGGAUGUUAGUGUGCUAGCUAUUUUCUAUGUUAAUGGCAGCUUCCCUACCAGAAUCUGGUAAUACCUUGUUACUUGUAAUGGAUUUAAGUUUUGUUAUGCAAACCUGUAGAAAAUGUAAUGGAAUUAAGUUGUUACUUAUUAGCUAUUGCGACAAUAGCAGCUGCUUGCCAAUUACCAUGUAAGAAAUUUUGGAAAUUCCUGGGAGUUUAUACGUCGAAA
Non-coding RNA from Prunus mume (Japanese apricot), 1231 nucleotides. Lineage: Eukaryota; Viridiplantae; Streptophyta; Magnoliopsida; Rosales; Rosaceae. The record is from RefSeq and is a predicted model, not a curated record.